GUUGUCGUGGCCGAUUGGUUAAGGCGAUAGCCUCAAAAUCUUUUGGGAUCUUUCCGCGCAGGUUCGAAUCCUAUCGAAAACG
Molecule: transfer RNA, 82 nt
Filed under: Dreissena polymorpha
Lineage: Eukaryota; Metazoa; Mollusca; Bivalvia; Myida; Dreissenidae
Rfam family: tRNA
About the family: Transfer RNA (tRNA) molecules are approximately 80 nucleotides in length. Their secondary structure includes four short double-helical elements and three loops (D, anti-codon, and T loops).
Source: Rfam by way of RNAcentral